This 240-nucleotide unclassified non-coding RNA is filed under the name soil metagenome. RNAcentral's name for it is "partial contains 5.8S ribosomal RNA, internal transcribed spacer 2, and large subunit ribosomal RNA". The record is from RNAcentral.
AACAUCGCGCACCUGCGGGAACCUGCGGAGGGAUCAUCGUGGGAUAGCUUAUAUUUUAACCGUGUGAACGGUACUGGGGGUGAGUGGGCGGGGGUGGGAUGUGAUGUGGGAGCUGGGAGCGGCAUAGGGGGCACUAGUACGAGCGUGCUCGAGCGUGCACCCUCGGUCACGCCCAGCUUCAAUGUCACGCAUCCUCGCACACACGCACCCACUAAUAAUGCAUACACUCUAAACACGCGC